GUGGGGAAUAUUGGACAAUGGGCGAAAGCCUGAUCCAGUCAUGCCGCGUGUGUGAAGAAGGUCUUCGGAUUGUAAAGCACUUUAAGUUGGGAGGAAGGGCAGUAAGUUAAUACCUUGCUGUUUUGACGUUACCAACAGAAUAAGCACCGGCUAACUUCGUGCCAGCAGCCGCGGUAAUACGAAGGGGGUAAGCGUUAAUCGGAAUUACUGGGCGUAAAGCGCGCGUAGGUGGUUCAGCAAGUUGAAGUUGAAAUCCCCGGGCUCAACCUGGGAACUGCCGCCAAAACUGCAUGACGAGAGUACGGUAGAGGGUAGGGGAAUUUCCGGUGUAGCGGGGAAAGGCGUAGAUAUUCGGAAUAACGCCAGUGGCGAAGGCGACUCACUGGCCCAAUACUGACGCUGCGGAGCGAAAGCGUGGGGAGCAAACAGGAUUAGAAACCACGGUAGUCC
Molecule: ribosomal RNA, 450 nt
Filed under: uncultured bacterium
Lineage: Bacteria
Description: partial 16S ribosomal RNA
Rfam family: Bacterial small subunit ribosomal RNA
Source: RNAcentral